RNAcentral lists this transfer RNA (74 nucleotides) under Syntrophomonadaceae bacterium. Its description in RNAcentral is "tRNA-Cys". It matches the Rfam family "tRNA". From Rfam's summary of the family: Transfer RNA (tRNA) molecules are approximately 80 nucleotides in length. Lineage: Bacteria; Bacillati; Bacillota; Clostridia; Eubacteriales; Syntrophomonadaceae. The record is from RNAcentral.
GGCUCGUUGGCCGAGAAUACAGGCAUCUGCCUGCAAAGCAGACUACAUUGGUGAGAUUCCAAUACGAGCCUCCA